Dreissena polymorpha is the source of this 402-nucleotide long non-coding RNA. RefSeq lists it as uncharacterized. The record is from RefSeq and is a predicted model, not a curated record. The transcript is spliced from 3 exons. NCBI's taxonomy places the organism in Eukaryota, Metazoa, Mollusca, Bivalvia, Myida, Dreissenidae.
CUGGAUUGUGUUUAGGUACAAUAAGAUACUGUAUUAUGCCUAGGUACAAAUAGGUACUUAAUUAUGCCUAGGUACAAAUAGGUACUGAAUUAUGCCUAGGUACAAAUAGGUACUGAAUUAUGCCUAGGUACAAAUAGGUUCUGGAUUUUGCUUAGGUACAAUUAGGUACUGGAUUAUGCCUAGGUACAAAUAGGUACUGGAUUAUGCAUAGGUACAAAUAGGUACUGAAUUAUGCCUAGGUACAAAUAGGUACUGGAUUAUGCCUAGGUACAAAUAGGUACUGGAUUGUGCUUAGGUACAAUUAGGUACUGGAUUAUGCCUAGGUACAAAUAGGUACUGGAUUAUGCCUAGGUACAAGUAGGUACUGGAUUGUUUGCUUAGGUUUACAAUUUUUAUUUUAUU